Molecule: small nuclear RNA, 108 nt
Organism: Bison bison bison
Lineage: Eukaryota; Metazoa; Chordata; Mammalia; Artiodactyla; Bovidae
Source: Ensembl
GUGCUUGCUUCAGCAGCACAUACACUAAAAAUUGGAACGAUACAGAGAAGAUUAGCACGGCCCCUGCCCAAGGUUGACAAGCAAAUUCCAGAAGUGUUCCAUAUUUUU